Long non-coding RNA from Antechinus flavipes (yellow-footed antechinus), 3321 nucleotides. RefSeq lists it as uncharacterized. Lineage: Eukaryota; Metazoa; Chordata; Mammalia; Dasyuromorphia; Dasyuridae. The record is from RefSeq and is a predicted model, not a curated record. The transcript is spliced from 2 exons.
GGAAGGCACCCGGAUGAUCACAUUAAAUCGAGCGUUUUUAGAUCAGCUCCUUAAAUUAUCUCUUUAAAAUUUACUUCCUGAGAAGUGGCAUUUGCCAAAUGUUGGGCAUCUACUUGAUUCCAGUGCUUUAUUACCACAAAAGAUUUUGGUAUCUUUUGGAUCUCUGUUUCAGUCUCUGACUUUGCUAGUAAGAUUGCUGGAUCAAAAGGUAUGGACAAAUUGGUCAUUUUCUUGCAUAAUUUCAAAAUGAAAUAACAAAAAUUACAUACGCAAUACUAGAACAUUUCACUGUUCUACCAACAAUGCAUCGAUGUAUCUAUCUUCCCAGAACUCUUCAAAUAUUGACUUUUCAUUUUUGUUAUCAUUGCUAAUUUGUCAGAUAAAAUGUGACACCCUAGAAUUAUUUUGAAUUUUUCUUUCUUUUAAAGGUUGGCAAACUAUGGUCUAAGAACCAAAUCUAGCCUGUUUUGUUUUUUUUUUUUUGACCUGUAAGAUAAGAAUAAUUUUACAUUUUAAAAUAUAAUAAAAUAAUAUUUUAAAAUGAAAAAAUAUUUUUUAGUUCCUAGACUUUGCAAAAACUGCUGGUAUAUUUGGCCUAUGGACCAUAAUUUGCUAGCUACUCAUUUAGGACACAUUCAUGUGGUUACAGAUGGCUUAUGAUAAAUGUUUGUUUUGUUGACUAAUAUUGAGUUUCUUUUGUGAAAAACCCUUCUCAUUUAACUCAGUGCCUGAAAUAAAACACUCAUUAUUUCAUGAUUGUUGAUUGUCCUGAAAAGACAUUUUAAUAAUUUCCAGCUUUUGUAACCAACAAAAUGAAGGACUAGAUAUUUUCUCUGAUCCUCACAAUCUUCAAACUUCUCCAAAAUAGAAAUUAUGUACCCAGAGAUAAAGCAAUUUCAGCUAUCUCUAUCCUCUACUAUACCAAGAAUCUAAACAACAUUCAAUCUCAAUAAAUUAACAAUGGAGAAUGCUAAUCUCUACUCCCCCAUGAGGCUCUCCCACAAAGUGGUAUACAAACUAGCCCACAGACUUGCGACAGGAUUCAAAUGCACUCUCUGACAACCCAUUUCACCUCCCAGUUCCUCCAAGAUCCAAAUAAUGGAAAACAGCAUUAAGGAGUACCCUGGUAGAACUCUUCAAGAAAACUGAAGAACAGAGGGAACUAGGUCAGGACAAGAGUGGGUUAGGGUAAAGACGGUAUAGAACUAUGUGUCACUCCAUUAAGCCUGAGGAAAAGAUGUCCGUGGGAGCCAUUUUUGCCUACCCAUUUUUCAGAGGCCUAGACUUCUGCAGCAUGGAAAGAAGCUAACACAGCUUUUAGAUCCAGUUUCCAGGAAAACUGUCAUCAAAGGGAAGGGAGGUAAAAAGUGAGCAACCAGGAAAAUUUUUUUUAUAAAAGAUAAAAUUACCAAAGAUCUCAGGGGGGACAAAAACUCAUUUAAAGACCUUGAGCAUAAAUAGACAAACCAAGAGGGAACAUGUUAGAAGACCACGGGGAAAAUGAGCUACAGGUAAGAGGGAAAGAGUUUAAAUAUCUAUGUAUAUGUAUUACAAGACAUAAGAAAAUGAAUCAAUACUUGCUGAGGCCAAGGACCCAAGGGAUUUUUAAGAGAACAUGAAACCAAAGCACAAUGUUCUUGAAUCAAAGGAAUAAAAAUUGUGAAAGCAGAAUGUAUGGCCUUCACAGCUGAAAACUUGAAUCUAUAGUGGCAUGUCUCACCAAAAAAAUAAGAGUACAAUUGAUGGGAAAUGCAAAUAUAUUGAAAUGAAGGACUAUCAGGAAGCACUGAAGCAAAGGGGAAUAACAUUAAAAGAAAAGAUGUUCUCCAUACAAUUAAAACAUACCUCUCUAAAACAGGACACACUAAGAACCUAAGGAUUAUAGGCCUCCCAGAACAUAAAUAAGAAAAACCUGAACACCAUAGUGCAAGAAUUAAUGCCCAGAAAGAGAGACAAUGUCUAGAAUUUGAUGCAGAAAUCAAUGAACCUAUCCAAAGAAUUGAAAUAAUGGCCUUCUCUAGUGCAGGGUAAAAAACAGAGAGAGAUUUAAAAUGUCACCCCAAAAGUUUUUUUAAAAAAUACAAAACUCUUCCAAAAAUAAAUACACAGGAGGCUAAAUUUAACAAUUCCAGUAAUAUAUGACAAAUUUUGCAAGUGACUAGGAGAAUGACUUAAAUAUAAAGAAAAGGAAAUUUGACUAGUACAAGAUUAUUUUGCCCUACCCCAAAACCACAGGAAGGAAAAGAAUAUGCCCCAAAGAGCAAAAGAGCUUAAGAUGUCUAGGAUAGACUACUUUGCAAAUCUGAGGCUACUCACAAAUGCAAAAAGAUGACUUGGUGGGAGACAGGGACUAAGCAUUAUAAAUAUUCCAAGAUGGAAAAAAAUUGAGCCUGAAAAAACUUUUUGCUUCUCAAACAUCCCAGACAACAAGAUAGAUAAAGGCAGCAACCAAGGACAAAAAUAAAAUAACAGAAACAUUUAUCAGAUUGUCUUUUAAAUAUAUACUAGGAGGCAGGGAUAAAAACAGAAGUCAAAUGGAAGUAAUGGUGGAGAAAUAGUCCUGAAACAUCAGGGAAUUGAACCUUAUAAACACCCCACUUACAAAUCAAUUAGAGCUCUUUGUGAGAUAAAAUUACUGCUUGGGAGGAUACAUAAAGGAGCAGAGGACAGGGAGAAGUUAAAGAGAAAUGUAUAGUGUACUCUAAUCAAUUCAAAGUGUAACAAUGAAUACAACUCUUGAGAAAACGAAACCCUGUAGUAUAAAGAGUGAGGAGGCAAAGAGAGAGAUUAAAAGAGGGGGAAAGAAAGGAAGAAACCUGGUUUAACUGUUGGCCAGGCAGGAAUGUGGUGUUUGGAGAACUCCUUUUGCCAUGAGUAAAAAGCAACCAGAGCUCCUUUUAAAGACUACUGAAACCCCAGAGUGGGAGGAUAUAGACCAGGGAAGAAAUGUUGAAGCAAAUGGGAAAAAAAGAGGGCAAAGUUCAAUAAUUAACUCCACAUCAAGAGACAUGGGAAGAUUAUGACUAUAAGGCAACAAAUUCUCUAAUACCUACAAAAAUCAGUGUUUUUAUGAAUGAGGCAUGACAGACAAAAGGGAGUAAGAUUUAUAAGGCAAUAAUAUAAACUCUUUUGAAGAGGGUACCCAAAAUAAAUGGCUCAAAAGUUUUAAUUUAGAAUAUAGAGAAUACAAAGCAUAAAGAAUACAGAUAAUACAAAGGAAUACAUGCAGAAAAUAAAAAUAAAUAUAAGGGAUAAAUGAUGAACUGAAUGAGGAAUAGAAAUUCUUUUUAAAAAUAAAAACAGAAAAUGAACAUUUAAAAA